CAUAUACUCCCUCCGUCCCAAAAUUCUUGUCUUAGAUUUGUCUAAAUAUGAAUGUAUCUAGUCAUGUUUUGGUAUUUAGAUACAUCCAUUUCUAGACAAACAUAAGACAAGAAAUUUGGGACGGAGGGAGUAUACA
Molecule: microRNA precursor, 136 nt
Filed under: Hordeum vulgare
Lineage: Eukaryota; Viridiplantae; Streptophyta; Magnoliopsida; Poales; Poaceae
Description: microRNA MIR1122
Rfam family: MIR1120/MIR1122 microRNA precursor family
Source: RNAcentral